Anolis sagrei ordinatus is the source of this 878-nucleotide non-coding RNA. The record is from RefSeq and is a predicted model, not a curated record. NCBI's taxonomy places the organism in Eukaryota, Metazoa, Chordata, Lepidosauria, Squamata, Anolidae.
ACCUGGGCCUGGAUCGAUGGCACUCCAUACUCUCCUGGAUCCGCUCUUUGGGAUGGCAGGAGACCCACCACCUCAAGCUCAACCACCCAGUGCCUUUCGCUCUACAAUGUGCAAAAACUAGGAGCUCCUGUGAGGUGGUACCAGUAUGGCUGCACCUCAAGACUACCGUAUGUUUGCAAGUACAUGGCAAGGUAUCAGAUCCAGAGUGACAGCCCAUAAAUGGGAUACGUAGAGAAGACAUCUCCUGAGAUCCUGGGGAAAAAGUUUGCAUCUAGCAACACUGCAAAUGCUCAAAUGCUCCAGCGUCACGAAGAGACCGAGCCCUUCUUCUAUUCCCAGGGUGUCGGUCGCUACCUUUUCCAAAGCAUGCCCAAUCUCUCUCCCUUCUUCUCUCAGAUAAUGUUUGUGCUUUUGACCCUUCCUCCAAUAAUCCCAGUUUGCUUUGUAAUUCCUGCUCAAAGAAGGUGAAUCCCAACUUGCUUUUCCUCCCAACUUGCAAAAGGCCUUUUUAUUAGUCUUCAGAGCCAUCUCAUUCCCUGGGUAUAGAAUGAAGAUCAGGUGGCGAAACAUAACACCUUCUAAUGGAGAAGAUCCCACCCUUGGUCUGAAAUCCAAAUUUUGCACAGGAGAUAUUUUGAAUCUUGUGAAAUGAUGGUGUUGUGGAAGGAGGGUGGAUUUUUAAAAAUCUUGAGAAUGCCUGAGCUUGUCUUUUCCAAAUGGUCCAGCUAGAUGAGAAGAAACCAAGAAAGUAAGGAAACCAAUGAAGCAAAUGGGUGGGUUGGGGUGUUGGCCUUCUGGCCGGCUUUUGCCUUCUCUGCUGCCUCCCUCCCCAUUUCUGCUGCCUCUGAGAUAAUAAUAAAUUCUUUUCUGAGUAUAAA